AGAGUUUGAUCCUGGCUCAGGAUGAACGCUGGCGGCGUGCCUAAUACAUGCAAGUCGAACGAGGUGCUUUUGUAGCAAUACGAAAGUAUCCUAGUGGCGAACGGGUGAGUAACGCGUUGGUGACCUACCCCAAAGUGUGGGAUAACAGUCCGAAAGAUUGCUAAUACCGCAUGUGGUUAUCGGAUUUAGAAACCGAUAUCUAAAGGAGCAAUUCGCUUUGGGAGGGACCUGCGUCCCAUCAGCUAGUUGGUGAGGUAAUGGCUCACCAAGGCUACGACGGGUAGGGGACCUGAGAGGGUGACCCCCCACAAUGGAACUGAAACACGGUCCAUACACCUACGGGUGGCAGCAGUAGGGAAUAUUGCUCAAUGGGCGAAACGUGAUGCAGCAACGCCGCGUGGAGGAUGACGCAUUUCGGUGUGUAAACUCCUUUUAAGAGGGAAGAUAAUGACGGUACCUCUUGAAUAAGCACCGGCUAACUCCGUGUCAGCAGCCGCGUAAUGCGAGGGUGCAAGCGUUACUCGGAAUCACUGGGCGUAAAGGGUGCGUAGGCUGGCUUCUAAGUCAGAUGUGAAAUCCAAUGGCUUAACCAUUGAACUGCAUUUGAAACUGGGAGCCUAGAGUUCAGAAGGGGCAGAUGGAAUUAGUGGUGUAGGGGUAAAAUCCGUAGAUAUCACUAGGAAUAUCAAAAGCGAAGGCGUUCUGCUGGGAUGAUACUGACGCUGAGGCACGAAAGCGUGGGGAGCAAACAGGAUUAGAUACCCUGGUAGUCCACGCCCUAAACGAUGAAUGCUAGUCGUCGGGGAGCUCGUCUCUUCGGUGAUGCACUUAACAGAUUAAGCAUUCCGCCUGGGGAGUACGGUCGCAAGAUUAAAACUCAAAGGAAUAGACGGGGACCCGCACAAGUGGUGGAGCAUGUGGUUUAAUUCGAAGAUACACGAAGAACCUUACCUGGCCUUGACAUGGUAGGAACCCUUAAGAGAUUAGGGGGUGUUAGCUUGCUAGAACCUACACACAGGUGCUGCACGGCUGUCGUCAGCUCGUGUCGUGAGAUGUACCGUCAAGUCGGGUAACGAGCGCAACCCCUAUUCCGUGUUGAAUUUUCACGGGAGACCGCCUCGGAUAACGGGGAGGAAGGUGGGGAUGACGUCAAAUCAGCAUGGCUCUUACACCUAGGGCAACACACGUGCUACAAUGGCCAGGACAAUGGGUCGCCAAGCCAAGGCGGAGCUAAUCCCAUCAAACCUGGUCUCAGUUCGGAUUGGGGCUGCAAUUCGCCCCCAUGAAGCCGGAUUUGCUAGUAACGCGCGAUCGGCAACGCGGCCGUGAAUACGUUCUCGGGUCUUGUACUCACCGCCCGUCACGUCAAGAGAGUUGGAAACGCCCGAAGGCACGCUUAGCUCGGACGAAGCGGAGCCAGCGAUAGGGACGAAGUCGUAACAAGGCAUCCGUAGCGGAAGCUGUGGAUGGAUCACCUCCUU
This 1481-nucleotide ribosomal RNA is filed under the name uncultured bacterium. RNAcentral describes it as "bacterial SSU rRNA". It matches the Rfam family "Bacterial small subunit ribosomal RNA". The record is from RNAcentral.